UGGGGAAUAUUGGACAAUGGGGGGAACCCUGAUCCAGCCAUGCCGCGUGUGUGAAGAAGGCCUUAUGGUUGUAAAGCACUUUAAGCGAGGAGGAGGGUACUGGUAUUAAUACUACCAGGUACUGGACGUUACUCGCAGAAUAAGCACCGGCUAACUCUGUGCCAGCAGCCGCGGUAAUACAGAGGGUGCGAGCGUUAAUCGGAUUUACUGGGCGUAAAGCGUGCGUAGGCGGCUAAUUGAGUCGGAUGUGAAAUCCCCGAGCUUAACUUGGGAAUUGCAUUCGAUACUGGUUAGCUAGAGUGUGGGAGAGGAUGGUAGAAUUCCAGGUGUAGCGGUGAAAUGCGUAGAGAUCUGGAGGAAUACCGAUGGCGAAGGCAGCCAUCUGGACUAACACUGACGCUGAGGUACGAAAGCAUGGGGAGCAAACAGG
RNAcentral lists this ribosomal RNA (430 nucleotides) under Pseudomonadota bacterium. RNAcentral describes it as "Proteobacteria bacterium partial 16S ribosomal RNA". It matches the Rfam family "Bacterial small subunit ribosomal RNA", at positions 355 to 776 of the family's 1533-position model. Lineage: Bacteria; Pseudomonadati; Pseudomonadota. The record is from RNAcentral.